UUGCAGGGGUUUAAAAUCAUCUCGAGGAAGAAGGAGGAGAAAGAAAAAGAAGGCGAAGAAGAAGAUGACGACGACGAUGACGAAGAAGAAGAAGGAGAAGGAGACAAUGAAAAAAAACCAACAGGUAGAAUCUGCGAAUCAUCUGCACUGAUGAGGCCCAACGUAAUGAUGAGCCACAGUGUACCAGUACUGAGUAGCAACACCAACGUCACUUCAAAGUUUGCAUGCAGUCCGAUGAUUCACCAGCAACUCGGGCACCUCAGGCAUCCCUGAACCAGAUCUUGAGUUCGUGAUCUAGAUAGAAGAACACGAUAUAGGAGAAGACUAUACAAGUAUAUAUAUAAUCGCAAGGAAAGAUACUACACACUAAUCGAUGAGCAGCAUAGGUUUGAACCACAACAAAGUUGAGAGACUCGGCUGCCCAAAGCGUCACAUGAACUAGCAGAGUCAACUAAUGAGGGAAGACAGACUGACUUAGUCAUACUGAACUUCAGCAAGGCAUUUGAUCUACCAGUCUCUGAGCUGCAUUGAACCACUAAGAGACAUUCUACCAGUGACUCAGGUCAUUCUGUCCAAACAGAAGCUGAAGAUUCUUCCCACGUUACAUGUUACAAACUACUAAAGCCGAGGCACAGGAUCAGAAAAUCUUCAUACAGGAGCCGCAGAACUUUGUUGCUGCCAUGGUUUUUCUAUAGCUUGUAAAGGCCCUUUUUGAGUACACCCUAGUGAUGGCUGAGGCUGUGCCGGUUGGGUUUUGCACCCAGUGGCCGCUACGGUAGCCGGAUUGGUUCAGACCUGAAGGGACGAAAGGUUUGGGCAACUACAUUAAACCAUGGCGUACGACGACUGAACAUCUUGGUUCCACGUCGGAUUUAUGAAGAUGGCAUUGGCUGUUAUCCUGCUUUCAUCCCAUCGGAUGUAUCAAGGAUCUGGUGUGGCUGAAGGGUACCUAACUUUGCCACUCAACAUCAGUGUUUUCGCCUUUCUCAGUCUGCUUUAGGUCAGUCAAAACUCGUCGUCGGAUACUUAACAUAUCACCAUUGGUUAUGAAGACUCGUGUGUUGGGUGGACAGGUAUGGAGCAAGGCAUAUCAGAGAGAAAGAAGAGGAAUAAUUGGUGCCAAUGUGCUAGGUCAUGAAGCUGGGAUUGGAGCAUGCUAACUCUUUGGACAGCAGACCCGGGACAGGAGAGGAGACUCACGACAGGAAAGGAGCUCAGGACAGGAUAAGAGACCCACGACAGGAGAGGAGCCCAGGACAGGACAGGAUACUGAGGACAGGACAAGCAGCCCAGGACAAGAGAGGACAGGACAGGAGCACCAACUACCAUUUAUUGAGAAGCUGCAUAACACUGCCACUCCUGAGUACUAGCGCAUGCCAGCCCACUUAUGUACGAGGUUUUCGUCAAGCUGACAGAAGUUGUAAGUGUGUAAAUCAUUGAUGCUAGAACUGUUGUAUAAAUGCACAUGUAUACUAUUGUUAACAUCAAGUUGUCUAGCUACCGUGUGUACAUCGUUACUCAAAUGCAAUGUCGUGUUUUUCAUUGAGUUCGGUUUUUAUACUUUAGCUAUUCAGUAAUCGAAAUAGCUUAACAGAUUUUUUAAUGACAAAUUCUGAACAUAUGUUACUCAUGGCAGUGGCAGUGGCAGUUGAUAAAAGUUUUUAAUUGAUUGACAAAUAUAAUUAAGCCAGUUUUGCAUUGUUGCUCGGCAUAACCCCACUUUAUUAGUCAGUUCACAGGUUUCAGUCAUAGCUUUAGUGUUUAUAAAACAUAUAAUUUCACAAAAUUGAAGCUCAAACUGCAUGGCUGCUUGAUGGUCAAUAACUUUAUUAUAUUUUGCGUAGUACAGUAGGGCCAAGCAGCGUAGUAA
Long non-coding RNA from Priapulus caudatus, 1870 nucleotides. RefSeq lists it as uncharacterized. The transcript is spliced from 4 exons. The record is from RefSeq and is a predicted model, not a curated record. NCBI's taxonomy places the organism in Eukaryota, Metazoa, Priapulida, Priapulimorpha, Priapulimorphida, Priapulidae.